UCGACGGGCUCAUAUUGAAACCUAGUGAUGUAUGAGUUAGUGGCGGACGGGUGAGUAACGCGUGGAGAACCUGCCGUAUACUGGGGGAUAACACUUAGAAAUAGGUGCUAAUACCGCAUAAGCGCACAGCUUCGCAUGAAGCAGUGUGAAAAACUCCGGUGGUAUACGAUGGAUCCGCGUCUGAUUAGCUGGUUGGCGGGGUAACAGCCCACCAAGGCGACGAUCAGUAGCCGGCCUGAGAGGGUGAACGGCCACAUUGGGACUGAGACACGGCCCAAACUCCUACGGGAGGCAGCAGUGGGGAAUAUUGCACAAUGGGGGAAACCCUGAUGCAGCGACGCCGCGUGAGUGAAGAAGUAUUUCGGUAUGUAAAGCUCUAUCAGCAGGGAGGAAAAUGACGGUACCUGACUAAGAAGCCCCGGCUAACUACGUGCCAGCAGCCGCGGUAAUACGUAGGGGGCAAGCGUUAUCCGGAUUUACUGGGUGUAAAGGGAGCGUAGACGGCAGCGCAAGUCUGAAGUGAAAUCCCAUGGCUUAACCAUGGAACUGCUUUGGAAACUGUGCAGCUGGAGUGCAGGAGAGGUAAGCGGAAUUCCUAGUGUAGCGGUGAAAUGCGUAGAUAUUAGGAGGAACACCAGUGGCGAAGGCGGCUUACUGGACUGUAACUGACGUUGAGGCUCGAAAGCGUGGGGAGCAAACAGGAUUAGAUACCCUGGUAGUC
This 721-nucleotide ribosomal RNA is filed under the name uncultured bacterium. RNAcentral describes it as "bacterial SSU rRNA". It matches the Rfam family "Bacterial small subunit ribosomal RNA", at positions 62 to 795 of the family's 1533-position model. The record is from RNAcentral.